RNAcentral lists this long non-coding RNA (566 nucleotides) under Populus trichocarpa (black cottonwood). Its description in RNAcentral is "long non-coding RNA (PTRI_LNC003157)". Lineage: Eukaryota; Viridiplantae; Streptophyta; Magnoliopsida; Malpighiales; Salicaceae. The record is from RNAcentral.
CAUAAACUGCUCAAACAAUGUUGUAUGGGAAACGUUGUUCUUUUUUUGGAUAAACCAAGAUCACGUUACUAAGACACAAAAAUGGAAGCCAGAGGAGAAAAAAAAAUGGUAGCAGCACUGACAAGGAGCAUCGGCAUGAACGACACAAACAGAAGUGAAGAGCCCCAAAAAUUACACGAGGCAAAAACAAAAUCCAGCAUCGAAGUUCGAAGAGAAAUCUAAAACUGAAGAUUUAAGAGAACAAAUUGAAACAGAAGAGAACAUCUCGCAGCAGAAAACCAAAGAACACAAGCCACCUAUAUCUCAUAAUUUUGGCUGAGGAUGAUUGGUUUAGCUAACAUGUUUCUCCCUUUUCACUUCCCAAAUCCUGAAGUGUUCUCCAUCUCCUGAAAAAUAUACAGUGAGCAAGAUCAUUAAUAGAUGGAAAAUGGAGAAAUGACGGAAAUAUUGUUACUACAGAAAACAAUUAGAAAACAUCGCACAACUCAUACAACUAUCUUCCUUAAGUUGAACUAGAAAAUGGAGAAAAUGUUUGUUUCAAUCAAACCAGAUAAAAGAUUUGGCCA